AUGUGUUAAAAAGUAAGCAACAAAAAAUAUAAAUAUAUUAAUAUUUUUUCAACCGAUCGGGUUUACAACCUUUAGCGACAACCCAAAUGCACCAGCUCACCGGUUCGAGUUCGAGAACAUCGAACUACAUCCAGACAACUGCGUGGUUCACCUCCGCCGGACGAUGCGGCCUUGGUCGCAACGGCGCUUACUAUUUAACAAUUACACAAACCCGCGCGUGCUCUACUCGCCGCAGCGGUUGGGGAAAAACGGCACUAAGAACGGCCGACCCUCCUACUACGACUGAGCCGCUGUUUUUCUUCCAUCGCGCAUCUUUCGCCGAAAAAGGGGAAGAUGUGUGUGACCAUUCCGCCUUCUGUUCGGUUCUUUCUAAUCUACCACACACCUACAGAGGAUAGGGGAACACAACAGUUAUACUACCUUUUUGCCGCACGAUCUCCCCCUCACACGAAUGGCAUCCAAAGAUGGCCAUCAGCGGGUACUCUCCUCGCAUUGGACACAAAUAUGAGCGCUGGGUAGCGACGGAUGGAUUAAAAAAUGAAACCUCUUUUUCGCCGGCCCAUGGAGGGUUUCUGUGUUUGUGUGUGUGCUUCUACAGUGGAGUACUGAAGAUAGAUGCAGCGUGCAGCGUAGUUCGAUUCCGCUGCCAAUCGAGUCAUAUCUGGGGGGAGGCAAGCAGUUCAAAACAGAUUUCACCUCGCGUGAGUGGGAUGUGAAUGUCAAUCGACGGUGAAAGAGCAGAGACCAACAACAAAAAACAACGUUAACGGAAGUGGUUACUCCAUCUUUUCGAACCGAUAACCGAGAAGGGGGGAAACGUCGCUUUCACUUAACAACUUUUGUCUUCCCACGAUUGUCACCCGAGUCGUACUCCAGCUGUCCCUCGACGCCUGAUAUCUUUGGGGACACUUUUCUCUCUUCUUUUGACAUUUCGGAGUGUGCCACGAUGAUGUGUCGCGAAAGCGUUCUUGCAGUUGGAUAGUGUACACGCAAUGGUAGUAGUCGGAGUUGUUAUUGUUUUGCUCAACCACACGUGCUUGAUCAAUGCAAAAGCAACGUUGUCAUGGCGUGGUGUGUUGGUUUGUGCUUUUAUUGCAGCUGUACCGUCAACAAAACGUUACAUCGACCAGGAGUACAGGAGAGCACGUAGCCGACCUCGUCCACUACCUCCCAACCCGGUUGGCUAGUGUAGUACACACGUGAGCAUGUUUGCCUCGCUUCGUGUUUCCUCUGCUCGGUUCCAGUCUCAUACUGGCAUUAGAAAACCAAGAAAACCAGCACAAAAAUACUGUGUUUCCUUCUUGUAACCGCAACAGCCAAAUGCUCUCGCUUUCUCGCGUAUGUUUUGUUUUUUGAGGGUUCAUUUCAUCAUCAUCCAAAAGCGGCACAAACAGAGCAGGCCGAGUUUCGGCAACCGAUGCCCACACUAUGCGUAUUGAAUGUCAGUAAAGUCAUCAAUAAAAGGAGACGGAAAUCACAAAA
This is a long non-coding RNA of Anopheles coluzzii, 1482 nucleotides long. RefSeq lists it as uncharacterized. The transcript is spliced from 2 exons. Lineage: Eukaryota; Metazoa; Arthropoda; Insecta; Diptera; Culicidae. The record is from RefSeq and is a predicted model, not a curated record.